Cyanistes caeruleus (blue tit) is the source of this 991-nucleotide non-coding RNA. NCBI's taxonomy places the organism in Eukaryota, Metazoa, Chordata, Aves, Passeriformes, Paridae. The record is from RefSeq and is a predicted model, not a curated record.
UUCACUUUUACACAGGAACAGCUCCAUCAAGUUCAACAGCUACACACUAAACGGACUGAACUUUGCAAAAAUGGAAUUUUAGAAAAAGUCUCCCCUCUCCCCGAGUCUGAUAGCAAAGAGCCCUAUUCAGUCAUCCACAGUGAGCACUUGCACUGACAGCCUGGGUUAUUGACAUCCUUCUGAACAGGAGUUGUGCCUUCCAGAGUAUCAACCUGGUGUCAUCUGCAAAUCUGAGGAGUUUGUCUAUCCCACCACCCGGCUGGUUGAUGAAAUUGCUCAGUAGCAUUGGCCCCACCACUGACUCCCAAGGACAAUCACAGCAUGAUGGCCACCAGUUAGUGCUUGAACUCGACUGCCAGCCUUUGAACAAAACAGCCCAGGUUUUCACCCAAACUGCCUGCAAGGAUGACAUGGGAGACUGCAUCAGAAGCCUUGCCUAAUACUAAGGUUAAUGACAAAAUUAUACUCUCCUCAUCCAUGGAUCCAGUCAUUUCAUCACAGAAGGAAUGAGGCUGGUCAGGCAUGAUCUCUCCCAUUGGUAAACCCACAGUGAAUGUUCCCAAUUACCUUCCUGUCCUUCAAGUGCCUGGAAAUGCCUUCUGGGAGGAUUUGUUCCAUACCCUUCCCACUGAGGGACUGAGACGAGGCAGUUCCCCAGAGCAGCUAUUACUCAGCAGAGCCGAGUUAAAGCUGCUCAGCGCUGAUGCUCCACAGAUGGUCAUGUUCUGCUUGGGCAGUGGUGAGUGAGGCUGGUCCCCCUGCAGCCCACCCAGCCACAGACCAUGGCCACGCCUGAAACAUCUCACUUUCCUCAGGAAAAAUCAUCCCAGCACCAUCCACUGUCCACUGGGCUAAAGGACAUGACAAAGGCUGUGGCACUGCUAUUUAUUUUGCCGUGAUUAUGGCAUUUCUUAUGUAGCAACUAUUGCAGAGGUUUUGCUUGAAAAUAAAAAAGCUGUAAACAGGUCUCUUGUUCCAAUUCGUAGCAUCU